Molecule: non-coding RNA, 53 nt
Organism: Caenorhabditis elegans
Lineage: Eukaryota; Metazoa; Nematoda; Chromadorea; Rhabditida; Rhabditidae
Source: Ensembl
UAGGAAAUUUUGGUCUGCUAGACUACAAACUACAAACUCUUAAUUAGCAGACC